AUGAUAGAUCUCACGGCGGCAGUUCGUUCUUCGGCGAAGGAGAAAAGUGGAAGAUUAUGCGUAGAAUAUGUACAAAGUGUCUGGUUAGUGAAUGUUCAAAAUAAGAAUUUUGUAAAGAUGCGAAGAAAUUAUUGUGAACGUUUUAUGGUUAGAAAAAAUUGGGCUCAAAGAUUUAAUAAAAAUAAAGGAACCAUCAUCAUUUGGUUUGAUCAAACUAAUUAA
Molecule: non-coding RNA, 222 nt
Organism: Vicia faba (fava bean)
Lineage: Eukaryota; Viridiplantae; Streptophyta; Magnoliopsida; Fabales; Fabaceae
Source: the annotation of a GenBank genome assembly